Non-coding RNA from Camelina sativa (false flax), 545 nucleotides. NCBI's taxonomy places the organism in Eukaryota, Viridiplantae, Streptophyta, Magnoliopsida, Brassicales, Brassicaceae. The record is from RefSeq and is a predicted model, not a curated record.
CCACCAUUUGCUUCACUUCCUGCCUCUCGAUGAAUCCUUGCUGCUUCAGAUCAUAUAGCUGAAACGAAACUGCCAAGUAAUAUUCCAGGACCAAAAUUAUGCAAAUCUGAAAGACUGUUCAAAAGAAGUAGCAAACAAGCGUGCGUGGCAAGAGAGACAUAUUAUCCCUAGGUGCCUACCUUCUUCAUUUCACCACCGUAUAUCUCCUCCACUCUGUUUUUCUUCCUCCACAACACACAGUAGAGUCCUAUCAUCAACAAUAUUCCGCCUACAAUGCUACAAAACAUACAUAAAAAUUUCGUUCAUUAAAAAAAUGUCUUUUUUAAAUAAGAGUUCUGAUGAAGUGUAUAAAGAACCUUCCAAGACUGAUGAUCCCGCACACGAAAAUUGCUGAAGAGAGGAGAGUAAAGAUUGAUAAGAAGACGGGUCGUCUGUUUUCUAUAAACCAUGAUUGCAAAUUAUGCGGUACCUCGUUUCUUUGCCGAUCACCACCGCUGAGUUUCUUAAACAGCUCAUAGAGAGCCUCUAGCUCGUUUUGAUUCGUA